Molecule: long non-coding RNA, 1764 nt
Organism: Betta splendens (Siamese fighting fish)
Lineage: Eukaryota; Metazoa; Chordata; Actinopteri; Anabantiformes; Osphronemidae
Exons: 2
Source: RefSeq, a predicted model, not a curated record
GUGCGCUCUUGCCCCUGCAGGACAAAACUAGGCCCGCCGAGACUCGGCGCGCGCGCUCUGGGCCGAGUAUCGGGUGCCGGGUGGCCACGCCGAGACAAGUCGUCGCUCUGCAGGAAUUCCAUAGCUGCGGGGCUGCAGCAGAGAACUUUCUAUUCCCUGUGGUUGGGCAAUGCCAAGGGAAACCCACUUCCUCAUCCUGGAACUUCCCCAGCCGCCGAGGUUCACAGGGCCCGCUCCAGCCAACCAGCGCGCCACAAACACCGCCGCCGAGCUGUUUACAGGAAGCAGACAGCAAGCCUUUUGUGUUUAGCUUCUAUAAAAGGAAAUUCUGCAGAGGACUUCCUGGAAGGAGUGAUGAGGCUCACGCACAAACGCACUAGCCAGCUCCACUCCCAUUCAUUCAAGCGAAAAUACAUGUAAGAAAACACUUUUUCCCCCUCCAACUAUUGAAUCACUCCACUGACUGGGCUCAGCCAGUGACUGGAGCGUGAAACACACACUGCCCAGCUGUUCACCCCGUCCUGUUAUUCAAACAGCUGCCCUCCCUCUGUGUCAACAUCACCGUCCACCAGACGGAACCGGACCGGCGAUGCGAAGCGACCGAACUGCAAGACGAGGCUCCGGCCCCACAAUCAGACGCCUGUUCACGUCUCAGUCUGUCCCUGUACACGGAUGACUGCUGCUGCUGUGUUCCUAUUUAUUCCCACUGAGAAAUCACGCUCAGCCACUGACGUGGAGCGGCCACGGCCGACACACACGACACACAAAACCGACCAGCAACCAGCUUGUUUGGCGAAUCAACAGGACAGAAACUGAAAGAAUCUGUUUACAAAGAGCUGAGACUUCACAGAAUGUGCUAAUUAGAAAACGCCUGCUGUAUAAAUGAGGAUUAUUACCUCUAAAUUCUUUUAGUGGAAUGCUUGCAGGAAGAUAAACAAUAAACAAACAAGUGAGAGAGGUGGUAAAUAAAUGAUAUUUCAUAAGAGACAAGUUAUUUUCAGUAACUUCUGAACUUUAUGUGAGUCCAUGAAAGCCAAGCCCAGACCUCAGAACCAGAAGCUGGAUGUCCACUGCUGUACUUUACAGACAGGAAAUGUUUAUGGUCAACUGAAUGUGUCAUGAGCCAAAGGUUAUAGCGUAAACAGCUACAGUGUGAGACGAGAGGCGGCCUGGUGGUUCUGAAGGGGCAAACAGACUCACCGGCUGCUGUCAACCACGGAAAAAAUCCCCCACUCCUGCCGAACUCCGGCCCGUUCCGGCUGCUCUCAGAUGUCACGCUGAGAUUUCACUACCGCUCCUGGAUGUGCGUGGAUAAAGCGGUGCUGGUCCACCACACGGGGCUUUUUCCCUCCGUUCUCUCCCCAAGGACUCGCUCAGCCUGGUUCUUAGCUCGGGCCGGGGAGGAACCUGGCGGGGAGGAAGCGGAACGUCGUAAGAACAAACGAGGAGUCGGAACCUCGCGGCUUCCGUAGGGGUCACAUGGUGCCUAGAGCGCAUGCGUACGCGAUGCGCCUGAGCGCCACUACGGUAAAUCACAGCACAACACCGGAAUCACGGUGACUUUUCAAAAUACAAAAUUUCAAAAUUCCUUCCUGACGUCAGCGAGACGUUUAUAUAUUUCAGAGGUUUUUUUUCUUUAACUGAAAGCACUGAAACUGAGUUUAACUGAUUCGUUAAAUGUUUACUACAUCGUUCAUGUAUUUAAAAUAACGAACUGGGAACUCGUGGCAACAUUGAAAAGUGGAAUAAACAAAAGCAAAACUA